Molecule: ribosomal RNA, 427 nt
Filed under: uncultured bacterium
Lineage: Bacteria
Description: bacterial SSU rRNA
Rfam family: Bacterial small subunit ribosomal RNA
Source: RNAcentral
UGGGGAAUUUUGGACAAUGGGCGCAAGCCUGAUCCAGCAAUGCCGCGUGCAGGAUGAAGGCCUUCGGGUUGUAAACUGCUUUUGUACGGAGCGAAAAGGUCUACCCUAAUACGGUGGGCUCAUGACGGUACCGUAAGAAUAAGCACAGGCUAACUACGUGCCAGCAGCCGCGGUAAUACGUAGGGUGCGAGCGUUAAUCGGAAUUACUGGGCGUAAAGCGUGCGCAGGCGGUUAUAUAAGACAGAGGUGAAAUCCCCGGGCUCAACCUGGGAACUGCCUUUGUGACUGCAUAGCUAGAGUACAGUAGAGGGGGAUGGAAUUCCGCGUGUAGCAGUGAAAUGCGUAGAUAUGCGGAGGAACACCGAUUGCGAAGGCAAUCCCCUGGACCUGUACUGACGCUCAUGCACGAAAGCGUGGGUAGCAAACA